GAUCCUGGCUUAGGAUGAACGCUGGCGGCGUGCCUAACACAUGCAAGUCGAGCGAGAAGCUGUGAACAGAGAUUCGUCAACGGGAUACAGCGGAAAGCGGCGGACGGGUGAGUAACGCGUAGGCAACCUGCCCCUUACACAGGGAUAGCCAUUGGAAACGAUGAUUAAAACCUGAUGAUACCGGAAGAUGACAUCUUCAUCCGGUCAAAGACUUAUCGGGUAAGGGAUGGGCCUGCGUCUGAUUAGAUAGUUGGUGAGGUAACGGCCCACCAAGUCAACGAUCAGUAGCCGACCUGAGAGGGUGAUCGGCCACAUUGGAACUGAGACACGGUCCAAACUCCUACGGGAGGCAGCAGUGGGGAAUAUUGCACAAUGGGGGAAACCCUGAUGCAGCAACGCCGCGUGAAGGAUGAAGGUCUUCGGAUCGUAAACUUCUGUCCUAGAGGAAGAUAAUGACGGUACUCUUGGAGGAAGCCCCGGCUAACUACGUGCCAGCCGCAGC
Molecule: ribosomal RNA, 502 nt
Filed under: uncultured bacterium
Lineage: Bacteria
Description: bacterial SSU rRNA
Rfam family: Bacterial small subunit ribosomal RNA
Source: RNAcentral